Molecule: non-coding RNA, 286 nt
Organism: Misgurnus anguillicaudatus (oriental weatherfish)
Lineage: Eukaryota; Metazoa; Chordata; Actinopteri; Cypriniformes; Cobitidae
Source: RefSeq, a predicted model, not a curated record
CGCACCGGAAACGAGACGAAAAGUGGUACUCGAACUUGGAUUGCUGGGUGGGGUGGACUUGAAGGAUACGGUUUGGAGAAUAAUGAAGCAGGCGAUUAAAAAUGACUUUGCUAAAACCAUUAACUGGAGAGGUUUAAAUGGAAAAACGCCAUUCCAAAAUUUGGAGCUUAAAAGUGUUGUCAUUGAGGCUGUAAGAAGAAAUCCAGUUUGUGCCCAAAUUACUGAGCAGGAGGUUGAACAAGUUAUUAGACGGUGGUUUUACUUUGCUGGUGAUCGUGAGAGUGGC